This 472-nucleotide ribosomal RNA is filed under the name uncultured organism. Its description in RNAcentral is "partial 16S ribosomal RNA". It matches the Rfam family "Bacterial small subunit ribosomal RNA", at positions 334 to 797 of the family's 1533-position model. The record is from RNAcentral.
CACUCCUGCGGGAGGCAGCAGUGGGGAAUAUUGCACAAUGGGCGCAAGCCUGAUGCAGCCAUGCCACGUGUAUGAAGAAGGCCUUCGGGUUGUAAAGUACUUUCAGCGGGGAGGAAGGCAAUACGGUUAAUAACCGUGUUGAUUGACGUUACCCGCAGAAGAAGCACCGGCUAACUCCGUGCCAGCAGCCGCGGUAAUACGGAGGGUGCAAGCGUUAAUCGGAAUUACUGGGCGUAAAGCGCACGCAGGCGGUCUGUCAAGUCGGAUGUGAAAUCCCCGGGCUCAACCUGGGAACUGCAUUCGAAACUGGCAGGCUUGAGUCUUGUAGAGGGGGGUAGAAUUCCAGGUGUAGCGGUGAAAUGCGUAGAGAUCUGGAGGAAUACCGGUGGCGAAGGCGGCCCCCUGGACAAAGACUGACGCUCAGGUGCGAAAGCGUGGGGAGCAAACAGGAUUAGAAACCCGAGUAGUCCCA